This 343-nucleotide unclassified non-coding RNA is filed under the name soil metagenome. Its description in RNAcentral is "partial contains 5.8S ribosomal RNA, internal transcribed spacer 2, and large subunit ribosomal RNA". The stretch from base 1 to 120 matches the Rfam family "5.8S ribosomal RNA", at positions 35 to 154 of the family's 154-position model. The record is from RNAcentral.
GAUGAAGAACGUAGCGAAAUGCGAUAAGUAAUGUGAAUUGCAGAAUUCAGUGAAUCAUCGAAUCUUUGAACGCACAUUGCGCCCUCCGGUAUUCCGGGGGGCAUGCCUGUCCGAGCGUCAUUUCAACCCUCAAGCCCCCGGGCUUGGUGUUGGGGAUCGGCGAGCCUCCGCGCCCGCCGUCCCCUAAAUCUAGUGGCGGUCUCGCUGUAGCUUCCUCUGCGUAGUAGCACACCUCGCACUGGGAAACAGCGCGGCCACGCCGUUAAACCCCCAACUUCUGAACGUUUGACCUCGGAUCAGGUAGGAAUACCCGCUGAACUUAAGCAUAUCAAUAAGCGGAGGA